Molecule: ribosomal RNA, 468 nt
Filed under: uncultured bacterium
Lineage: Bacteria
Description: partial 16S ribosomal RNA
Rfam family: Bacterial small subunit ribosomal RNA
Source: RNAcentral
GACGAACGCUGGCGGCGUGCUUAACACAUGCAAGUCGAACGGAAAGGCCCUGCUUGUGUGGGGUGCUCGAGUGGCGAACGGGUGAGUAACACGUGAGUAACCUGCCCUUGACUUUGGGAGAACUUCAGGAAACUGGGGCUAAUACCGGAUAGGAGCUCCUGCUGCAUGGUGGGGGUUGGAAAGUUUCGGCGGUUGGGGAUGGACUCGCGGCUUAUCAGCUUGUUGGUGGGGUAGUGGCUUACCAAGGCUUUGACGGGUAGCCGGCCUGAGAGGGUGACCGGCCACAUUGGGACUGAGGUACGGCCCAGACUCCUACGGGAGGCAGCAGUGGGGAAUAUUGCACAAUGGGCGGAAGCCUGAUGCAGCAACGCCGCGUGCGGGAUGACGGCCUUCGGGUUGUAAACCGCUUUCGCCUGUGACGAAGCGUGAGUGACGGUACUGGGUAAAGAAGCACCGGCUAACUACGUG